RNAcentral lists this transfer RNA (41 nucleotides) under Hemiboea subacaulis. Its description in RNAcentral is "partial tRNA-Glu". Lineage: Eukaryota; Viridiplantae; Streptophyta; Magnoliopsida; Lamiales; Gesneriaceae. The record is from RNAcentral.
UUUUCAGAGAAUUUUAUCGAAUUUUUUGAUUCGUCGUUCAU